AUACGGAGGGUGCAAGCGUUAAUCGGAAUUACUGGGCGUAAAGGGUGCGUAGGCGGCUUGAUAAGUCGGAUGUGAAAGCCCCGGGCUUAACCUGGGAAUUGCAUUCGAUACUGUCAGGCUAGAGUAUGUCAGAGGUUGGCGGAAUUCCUGGUGUAGCGGUGAAAUGCGUAGAUAUCAGGAGGAACACCAGUGGCGAAGGCGGCUAACUGGGGCAAUACUGACGCUGAGGCACGAAAGCGUGGGGAGCAAACAGGAUUAGAUACCCGAGUAGUCC
RNAcentral lists this ribosomal RNA (274 nucleotides) under uncultured bacterium. RNAcentral's name for it is "partial 16S ribosomal RNA". It matches the Rfam family "Bacterial small subunit ribosomal RNA", at positions 523 to 796 of the family's 1533-position model. The record is from RNAcentral.